UACGGAGGGUGCAAGCGUUAUCCGGAUUCACUGGGCUUAAAGGGUGCGUAGGUGGAUUGGUAAGUCAGGGGUGAAAUCUCCGGGCUUAACCCGGAAACUGCCAUUGAUACUAUCAGUCUUGAAUACCGUGGAGGUCAGUAGAAUAUGUCAUGUAGCGGUGAAAUGCUUAGAUAUGACAUAGAAUACCAAUUGCGAAGGCAGCUGGCUACACGAAUAUUGACACUCAGGCACGAAAGCGUGGGGAUCAAACAGG
RNAcentral lists this ribosomal RNA (253 nucleotides) under uncultured bacterium. RNAcentral describes it as "partial 16S ribosomal RNA". It matches the Rfam family "Bacterial small subunit ribosomal RNA", at positions 524 to 776 of the family's 1533-position model. The record is from RNAcentral.